Non-coding RNA from Procambarus clarkii (red swamp crayfish), 3816 nucleotides. The record is from RefSeq and is a predicted model, not a curated record. NCBI's taxonomy places the organism in Eukaryota, Metazoa, Arthropoda, Malacostraca, Decapoda, Cambaridae.
UCUUCUAGUUUUGGCAUAUUUAAUGCCUCUAACCUCUCCUCGUAACUCUUGUCCUUCAGUUCUGGGAGCCUCCACUUAGAGGCAUGUCUUUGCACCUUUUCCAGUUUGUUGAUGUGCAAUCUGUGAUGUUGAUGUGAUGACAUCAACACAACUGUGAAUUUUGUUGAUGUGCAAAAAUGUGAUGUUGAUGUGAUGAGAGGCAGGGUGAAACAUAUGCUGUGUAUACUUUCUAAAUUGUGCCUAUGAGGUUAAAUGGUUGUAAAGUGUCGCAUAUAGUGGAUGGUUAAGAAAGGCAUACACUACAUUUACUCUUGUUAAGGUAAGCAAAAUCUUUACAUAGUACAUGUACAUUACAAUCUACUUUUUAUUUAUACUGCACUGUAUAACAAUUAUUUUAAUUUUAUGUAGAUUUAUUAUCAUAAUACACUUAAAUAAAAAACUACAUACUGUACAGUAUUUGUUCUUAAAACAUGUGAAAAUUAUUAAUUGGGACUUGGGUAGUUUCAUUUGGAAAGAAUCAAAUCUGUCACAUAUAGUUUUGAGUAGAAGAACUCCCAGAACCCCACCAGGCAGGUAGUUUUUUGGAACAAACUUCACUGGUACAAACGAGUGUAGUUUUGUUGGGUACGUGAUCGUAUAAUUAUCGACUAUUCUGCCAUUCAAAUAUGCUCUCUCUUUCCCAAACCUUGAUUACUACGCAGUAAUACAUUCAGCCAUAUUUAUGUAGUGGAGAGAGGGAUGGAUAGCUUUAUCUAAUAAGCUAUGCAACAUCAAACCUGAUACAGUAUUUCUCAACGGCUUCAUAUCAUCAAAACUGAAAAUGAGAAACCUCGUCCUUAUUAGUGAUGCAGAACUAAUGGAAAGGAAACUUGGCCGUUAUUACCAAAAUUGUCUUGUAAACUGUCACACACUUCAUAGAAGGCACAGAUUUAUGAAAUAACCAUAAAAUCUUCUCCGUCAAUCUCCUUAAAUUGGGUAUAUUGGGAUAUACCCAAUCUUAAAUCAUACGUUAGAACCACUUAGCAGUGAAUGGGAUUUAUUUAUUAUAACUAAGCUUAUACACUGUACAGUACUUCUGCUUUGGAUAAUUAUUAAAUAUAUAUAUUAUUAUUAUAUAAUUAUUAUAAUAAUAAUUGUUGUAUUUAAUAAUUAUCACUUCCUUCUACUUGGUCUUGAAGGAGGCCAGCCUUGGGUGAAAGGGGGCUCUGACGAACUUUGUCUGGAACCCAUCGGUGCGGGACGUCCACCUCCUGAGGGUCGUGUGGCCCAGGCUCUGCUUCAGGAGGCUGGGGUCGUUCAUACCCUUGAUGGGGUGGUUCUUCUCCAGCCACGUUCACGGCAGUCUCCGGGGUUGGAGGUCCCUGUUCCCUUUUUCACCAACUUCGAGGUCAUCCCUGGAACUCUCAGUUCCUGUGACGGCGCUGGAACCAAUCGUAUUGGCGUAUGCCUUUCCAUUGGAGGCUUUCAGCCCUGUGGAGAGGGGGGGACCUGCUGCCUGGGUAACAGCUUCUCCCCCGAAUCAACCUACCCUGGCUUUGCGCCCUGGUGAGGCCACUCCAGACCAGGCUGAUACCAGAGCGCAACUCCAUAGUCUCCUGAGACUGAUGGAUGCCUACUACUACUACUACUACUUCUGUUUUCAUAUAGGCAUCUUGAGUAGCAUAUAAGUAUUCACAGUAUGGUACCUUGGUUUUACCCAUAGCUUGAAUGGCACUAUAAAGCUAUACACUAUAAGCUAUGUUACUGCUUUUUUUAUGAUAACUUGUUUAAUUGUCUGCUUACUGCAACAGAUCUGAGCUUGGUGUUUAUCUAGUGGUAUCAACACAGAGCAAAAUCCAUUUCUUGAGCACUUCCUCUUAGUUAUUAUACCUGGGGCAUUUAUACUUACAAACUUUCCAGUACUCUUCCCUGGUUCCCAUUCUAGUUCGCCCAUUGUUUCAACAGUCUCCCCUUCCCUUUCUGAGACUCCACCUGUCCUAUUAGGUUCAGCAGCACACCCUACUUUGACAGUAGAGGCUCUCCAUCAAUUUUCAUGUACUGUAUUGUGUAGAGUUUCUUAGCAUCUUCCUUUUUUUGCAAUAGCAGUGUGUGGUAUUUUGGAGGGACUGCUACCUGUUCCACUCAGCAGGUGAUGAGCUGUUUCUCCCUGUUAACUGUCCGUUAUCCUUGGGGAAUGCCCUUUCUGUCUUGAUUUGUCAAUUGAUGCCUGUACUGUCAUUUUGUAACAUUUGGUCAAAGCAAAGGCCCUCUGUUACAUAUGGUGGGGGAUGUAUCCUUGUUUUCUUUUUCUAGCUUUCUUUAAGAUGAUGGGUGUUUUCUCAUCUCCAGCUGUCUCAAGUGUUCUUUCAUCUCUGACCAAUUCACACUCCCUCCCACAGCCUUUUGAUCUUUGAAUUGUGUGAAGGUGUUCUUGUCCUUUCUUCACUUUUCUAUUUCUCCCUCUGCCUGUUGGGUUGGAAAGCUUCCUGUUCUUCUCCUGAAGUGGGAAUUUUAUUCCUUUGAUAUUAACCCCUUGUUUGUUAUUGAAUGUCCCUUGGCCUCACAGCACUUGGGCAUUUGGUGUACAGCUGGUGUACUUUUGCCCAAGGCCUUCCUCGCCAGCAGUUCUCCCAUUUAUAAACCCAAUCUGCCUUUUCUGUUUUCCAGUACUGAGUAAACUUGGAGACCUAAUGAGAGGCCCAUCUCAGAAAUCAAGCAUUGACUGAAAUGAAAUUCCUUUUUCUUGUGGGCUCCCAGAAGAUUCCCGCCCACACCAUGUUUCCAUUUAUGCUGUGAAAUUAGUGGUCUUGGCAUGGGUGGCUCUAGGUUAUGGUAACACUGACUGAGACCCUGAGUAACUUGGGUUGCCAUCUGGAGGCAGUAGGGUGCAUCAAGGAAAGGAUAUUUACCCUAUGGCAACAAUUGCUUGUCUUGUUUCCUUUCAGACAGUCACUUGUUUUAGUGCCCCUAAGUUUUCUGGUUGUUUUUUUCCCAGGUUUUGUGGUUGGUCUCUAAUUUUCUUGCUUCCUUGACUUGUUGAGUGAACCAUAUUCUGGUCCCUGCUUCCAGUAGGAGAUGGAUUAAUCCUAGGAGCCUGGUGUGUUUGUCUAAGGUUUAGUUGUACUAGAGUUAACCUCUUGAAGCUAUUUGGGCAACCUGUUCUACAAGGAACAUUGCAUUUCAAUCGUAUGUGUUACAUAAGGCCAAAAAUUGUUGUACUAGAAAAUGGAAGCAGCUUGCAAAAGUGACAUACUGUCCCGUUUUCUGUUUUGGGUCCUCUGGUUGGUUAGGAAAGGAUACUUUAAAGGACCGUUGGGAAACCUUAGGAGGACGGGCUGACUUGUGACCCACCAGCAAAGGACGUUUUAUUACAUUCAAUAUUUCAUUUUUAAGACAGUCAAAUUUGCCCCAAAAAUACAAGUUACAGUAUUAUAUUUUUACAGAGUGCAAAAUUUAUUAAUUUCAAGAAACAGUUCAUUAACUGAUGAGUUCGUAAAGUGCACAUGAAAGAUAUGACAGAUAUCCAAGGAACCUUGUACCAAGGUCUUGUUCCUUGGUACCAAGGUUCCUUGUACCAAGGUCUUGUUCCUUGGUACCAAGGUCUUGUUCCUUGGUACCAAGGUUCCUUGUACCAAGGAACAAGAACAAGAGCAGGUGUCAGUUUGUUUCUCCCUGACUGCCAGAUAUAAGACUUACCUCUUCAGUGAUCAAACUCAUGAAUACAGGACUAAAAAUGUCAUAAAGAACAGUAUUUUUAUUAAAGAUUGUGAAUUAUAAUAAGUGUUGAUUUUUUAUUACAUGUAGAAUUUUUAUACUGAAUAUACCUUUUAUGCCAUA